This 583-nucleotide ribosomal RNA is filed under the name uncultured bacterium. RNAcentral's name for it is "partial 16S ribosomal RNA". It matches the Rfam family "Bacterial small subunit ribosomal RNA", at positions 355 to 935 of the family's 1533-position model. The record is from RNAcentral.
UGGGGAAUUUUGGACAAUGGGCGAAAGCCUGAUCCAGCAAUGCCGCGUGUGUGAAGAAGGCCUUCGGGUUGUAAAGCGCUUUUGUCCGGAAAGAAAUCCUUGGCUCUAAUACAGUCGGGGGAUGACGGUACCGGAAGAAUAAGCACCGGCUAACUACGUGCCAGCAGCCGCGGUAAUACGUAGGGUGCAAGCGUUAAUCGGAAUUACUGGGCGUAAAGCGUGCGCAGGCGGUUUGCUAAGACCGAUGUGAAAUCCCCGGGCUCAACCUGGGAACUGCAUUGGUGACUGGCAGGCUAGAGUAUGGCAGAGGGGGGUAGAAUUCCACGUGUAGCAGUGAAAUGCGUAGAGAUGUGGAGGAAUACCGAUGGCGAAGGCAGCCCCCUGGGCCAAUACUGACGCUCAUGCACGAAAGCGUGGGGAGCAAAACAGGAUUAGAUACCCUGGUAGUCCACGCCCUAAACGAUGUCAACUAGUUGUUGGGGAUUCAUUUCCUUAGUAACGUAGCUAACGCGUGAAGUUGACCGCCUGGGGAGUACGGUCGCAAGAUUAAAACUUAAAGGAAUUGACGGGGUCAUAGCUGUUU